CAGCAGCCGCGGGAAUACAGAGGGUGCGAGCGUUAAUCGGAUUUACUGGGCGUAAAGCGUGCGUAGGCGGCUUUUUAAGUCGGAUGUGAAAUCCCUGAGCUUAACUUAGGAAUUGCAUUCGAUACUGGGAAGCUAGAGUAUGGGAGAGGAUGGUAGAAUUCCAGGUGUAGCGGUGAAAUGCGUAGAGAUCUGGAGGAAUACCGAUGGCGAAGGCAGCCAUCUGGCCUAAUACUGACGCUGAGGUACGAAAGCAUGGGGAGCAAACAGGAUUAGAUACCCGAGUAGUCCCUGUCUCUUAUAA
RNAcentral lists this ribosomal RNA (301 nucleotides) under uncultured bacterium. RNAcentral's name for it is "partial 16S ribosomal RNA". It matches the Rfam family "Bacterial small subunit ribosomal RNA", at positions 509 to 809 of the family's 1533-position model. The record is from RNAcentral.